RNAcentral lists this non-coding RNA (23 nucleotides) under Arabidopsis thaliana (thale cress). Lineage: Eukaryota; Viridiplantae; Streptophyta; Magnoliopsida; Brassicales; Brassicaceae. The record is from RNAcentral.
ACCAUUGUCCAAUUUUUCUAAGC